CUGACUUUCACACCUGAUCCACAUCAUCAGUUUAAGCGCUACUAUCGGUACCUGAGGGGUGACCACGCCCCCCGUCUAGCCAGCCAAUCAUAUCUGACUCCACGUCUGGCGUCUGGAGACACCUGUGUGCUCCUGAUGGCUCGUGUUGAUUGAUCUGCUCGUUAGCUCCUCUCCUCAAACUGUUCGCGUCCAAUUGGAUCCUGUUCGCAAGUCGGGUUGAACUGGACCUUGCGGCCUCGGAGGAGACGCGAACGCGGAGCGGAGUGACGCAGGUGCGGUGCGAAGGUGCAGGGGUCCAUGUGCCGUAGAUUUCGGUCCCUUCAUCCACCGCCAACCUCUCCCCAUCCAACGCAUACUGACCCUGGAGCAGCUGGAGGUCGCUGCAUCCUUCAGUCCUUGGUCUCUAUGAGAACCUGAAGUGAACGCUGGUGAACAUCCUUCGUGGCUUCUCUGAACUGACUGGCUCUGACUCUGCCGCCAAGGACGGGGCAGCUGAUCGAGGGCUGAGUGGACUCUGUCUGCUGGCUGCGCCGCGGACUCAGCUGUUCUAGGCCCGAGCAGCUGUUCUAGGUCCAGCCCCGCGUUCACCGGUGCCGCAUGGCUGCCUCCUUCCAGCUGAGCCGAGGCCUGUUGUCUGCGCUAUAUUUAAUACGUCAGUGAGUAAUUAAUAAGCUUCUAUUAAUAACAGUGGGGGACGUAAAAGAUCCCUUGUCUUCGCCCCUCCCUGUUGUAGCUCAUGACUUAGCCCAGCGGCCCAGUUUAUUAGGGCAGUAGCUGUCGGAGGGCCACUUGGGGUGAAGACUUGCACGUGUUUCAUACACCCUAAUUUAACCUCAACGUAAGGAAUGAUAGCAGCUACCGAAAAGGUGUUAACUACCACAAAUAUGAGUAUACUGACGUAUAUAGUACAGUGUUUACAGCCAUGUUUAGAUCCAGAUAUGCAGAAGCUGUGAUCCGUUGCAGUUAAAGGACAUCAUCUGGUCUCAUUUGGUAAUAAAUUUUAAAAAAAACAACAUUCUUAAUUAGUAGACUUGUAACAAUAGCAUAUUGGUGCUUUUUUCCUGAAGGGCAAAAAAAUCUAAACAUAGGGAAUGAUUCACACAUUUAGCCAUUUAAUUGCUGAAUUAUUUGCAGGUUAUAUAAAUAUAUAGUGCAAGCAUUUAAUACUUUAUUUCCCCUUUACUCAGUGUUGAUUUACACUGUUUUAAAUCAUAUUAUUUCUGGCUUGCUACGUUUAAAAGUAUAUUUUUUUCCUGCCGCUCAAGGUUAAUGUGUGCGUGUGUGUCUGUUUGGUUACAGCCCAAGGUUAUGAAUAAUGCUGGAUUGCGUGAAAAGCUUAUAGUCGUAGAUUUGUUUUCAGUCGGGGCGGCCCAGCUGCAGAAAGCAACACCUUACGUUUCACUGACGGCUGUUGUUCGGGCCAGGUAAACACAGACAUUAAAUAUUAAACCACAGCUUCUUAAUUCCCCGUGGGACGUUGCUUUCGUGGCUGUAUUUCGUCAGACGCCCCAGUUUUCACUUUGCCAGCAAACGCCAACGUUCCGGCGCAGGUGACGCGCUGCUCUUGACCUUUAUCGAUCCCCUGAGAUGGGGAGAAAAUUGUCCUGGUUGCAGUUUUUAUCACGGCGAGUCCGGCAUCAGUUUGACGAGGCCGAGCUCAUUAUGAGUCGUAAAACUUCUCCCCGAGGCAAAAUCGCAGUGACCGAAAAACACAAAGGCAGGAAUCACACAAUUCACAACUGGUAGUGAGGUUGAAAUGAAAAUUGGAUU
This is a long non-coding RNA of Betta splendens (Siamese fighting fish), 1770 nucleotides long. RefSeq lists it as uncharacterized. The transcript has 3 exons. The record is from RefSeq and is a predicted model, not a curated record. Lineage: Eukaryota; Metazoa; Chordata; Actinopteri; Anabantiformes; Osphronemidae.